Molecule: long non-coding RNA, 3329 nt
Organism: Gorilla gorilla gorilla (western lowland gorilla)
Lineage: Eukaryota; Metazoa; Chordata; Mammalia; Primates; Hominidae
Exons: 5
Source: RefSeq, a predicted model, not a curated record
UUUGCAGCCCCGGCCUUCUCUUCGAGGACACCUCUGCUUUUCUGCCUCACACUUGGAUUGGACCUUCUUCAGCACAGCCAGUGGCUGAGGCUUCCUCCCUGGGGCUCAGUGGAGCAGGAAAGAUGCUGCAUCCAAACUCUUCCAUUGGGUUCCAGUCUGUUCCAGUCAUGCCCUUGAGCCUCUAAAGCUCCUAGUUCCAUAGACCACAGGAAAUGCAGGCGAGAGGGCAGCCUGGCGAGAGGGCAGCCCGGCGGGAAGGAAGGAAGAGGGUGGUGUUGAGCCAGACAGGAGACAGUAAGAGAAACGGCCUCUCUCCUCAGCGGCACAAUGGACUUUAGACAUCGCGCCUGUUUUGUACUCUCCAAGCCGGACUUCUCUACUCGCUGGCCUGGCGCUGAUGCCCAGAGGCCCCCUGUGCUUGUGGUCGUGGCCUUAGACAGUUCCCUGCCCUUUGUUCCAGCCCCGCCACACAGUCUGCACGGCCUCCACCACAGCUCUGGUGAGCCUCUUGGCCAGCUCCUGGUGACGGCGUGCACUUCCCUGCUCUGAGAAGGUCUCCCUCUCCUCUCUGCCCACCCUGUACAGAGACGUCUUUCAAGACCAUCCCAGAGGAGAGUGGCCUCUCUCCUCCACCCCAAGAGGAUGGCCUCUCAUGUGGCUGUCAGCCAUCUGACCCCUACCACAGACCUGAGGGUGAUCAGCCCCAACACCAGGCCAUGGUGGCUACAAAGUCUGGCAGAGUCAAAGGAAUGAGAAAAGGCUAAGAGUGCAUAAGGUUGGUCCAGGGGGCCAAAGCUAGUAUGGAGGCAGUGAAGGCCCUGAGCUCUGGGAGCCCACACUAUUUAUUGGUGAUCAAACAAAGAAGCAGGUGGUGAGGACGUGCGGAUGUGGGGGUAGAAAGGUAGUGGUGCAUCAAGCGUAGCUGUGACGGUUUAGCAUUUUCUUUGAAGUACGUGGAACAUGCUCUGCUACGUGAGAUAACGGAGAACAUGUUCUUCCAACUCAAGGUACAAUCACUUUAUGAUCCUGGGAGAGCAAGAAGCAAGGAGCCAGCAAGUCGGUGCACAUUCAAAAGGCCACGAGGGGUUUUAUGGUCUGAGCCCUGGAUUCCGUCAAAGCCGCAAGGGGUUUUAUGCCCUGAGCUUAGAUUGUGGUGCCACAGGGCAGCCUUCCACCCUUUGGCACAGAGCUUGGUGUUCCAAAGGCCAUGAGGUUUAGACCCUGGACCCAGGACAUGUUCCAAGACUCUUUUACAUUAUGACAGACAAGCUAGUCCUGCCUCAGCUCUUCUACCAACAUGUCUCCAUUUUAUUUUUGCAAAACUGCCACAGCUAUCAUUGCUUGUUCUCUACAGGGGCUUCCUGUCCAGAGGCAGCUUCCACAUCUGCAGACUAAAAGGAGACAGCACAACCACACAGUUACUAGAACAAAGUUUACAAGUGUAGAGUUUCCAAUGGUCUUAAUCCAUUUAAGAGGAUAGAUUGCAGACAACUCAUCAGCUGCCUUGUUUAAAAUAUCAGUGCCAGGGAGCAGGGCCAAGUGAGCCUGAGAGGCUUCAAAAACCUGCUCUUUCAGUUUUACAAUAUUGAAGGUGAGAUUUUCCUCUCUGCCCUCUAGAUGGCGUUUAAUUCUUUCCCAUUGGUGUUCUGUCUCGUAACUAUGAGGAGUAAUGCAAAAAUCGGAUAUAUUCCAACCACAAUGCAUUUGAAUUCUAGUUUCUAAACUUAGGAUGUGAUCCCCCAUCCAAAUUACUGUCUGACAGAGAUCACUGAUUUGACUAUCUUUUGAUCUAUUUGGGCUUGAGAGUUCCAUAAUUUCAUAGAAUUCUUUUGCCAUUUAUCAACAAAUUCAACAGUCUGCACAGAUGAGUGGAAAGCCACACCAGCUACUGCAGCAGUAGUGGUAACAGCAAUGAGGCCAAUUAUAGCAAAUACAAGAACAACUAUGAAUCUUUUUUAAUGGGAUAACAGGUUUUAAAGAAUCUCAGUUACAAUAUGAAUGGAUGGUGAUGCAUCCCGUGGUCUAUUUAGAGACACAGGGAUCCAAACUCCUUCUCUGGCUCUAAUUAACAAGAAAGUUUGAUUUUUAUCAAAGGUUGAGUUAAUACAACUAAACAAGUGACAUUCGGGGCAUGUGAUAGAAUGGGUAUUUAUGUCAAGAGUAACAGUUCCUAUUGCUAACAUAAAAGGUGGCUGGACACAACUUUGAAUCCAAAAGGUCUGCCACAGACAGUACUGCCAGCAUGGCCACCUUUAACUUACUAGUUGUUUUUGGUUUGUUCUGUGCUCUGAGGUUGGCCUCUGCCAUCUGUGCCAGUUUAACUUGGCCCCAUGUUGGAAGAUCCACCUGGCGAGUAUUCACAGUCUUUUUCUUUGUCUCUGAGAUGUUCAUUCAUGCCAUCACUUGUAUAGGGAGCUCUGGCUCUUCCCAGGGUCCUCUCUUCCUGGUGUGGCUCGUGAUGGCUCUUCAGAUGUUUGGUGGGCACCCACACAGACAACUGAUUGUCACCUGGAGAGACACAAGCAAAUCCUCUUCCCCAUGUAAUUAUUUUUCCUUUUUCCCACCUUUUUGUAUGUGCAUCCCUCCACCAUAUAUCUUGUCCAGCCUUUUAUUUUCCUUUUGUCCUGUCAGAUGUUGUUCAGCUGCAGGCAUGGGUUGAUCUUUUUGUAAAUUUAAAAUAAAGCUAAGUGUAAUUGCAUAUGUGGGGAUUUAUAUGUCUGAUUUCCCCCUUUUUGUUUUUGUAUUUGAGUUUUUAAGGUAUGAUUAGCUCUUUCAACUAUUGCUUGUCCUUGUGAGUUUCAUGGAAUUCCUGUAGUAUAAGUAAUAUUCCACUGUUGAAAAAAUGCAGUCAUGGCUUUACUGCAAUACCCUGGGCCAUUAUCAGUUUUUAUUUUUUUUGGAAUUCCCAUAACUGCAAAGCAAGAUAAAAGAUGUCUUUUAACAUGAGCUGUAGCUUCCCUGUUUGACAUGUGGCCCAGAUAAAAUGUGAAUAAGUAUCUACUGAAACAUGAACAAAAGACAAUUUUCCAAAGGUGGGAACACGUGUUACAUCCAUCUGCCAGAUGGACUUUGGAGAUAAACCUUCAGGGUUAACUCCUGCUCCUUGAUGUGGUAGAUGUAAAACUUGACAGGCAGAGCAGUUUCCUUAGCCUGUUUCCAUGAUAAAUUAUAUAUUUUUCUCAGACCUGUGGCAUUAAGAUGGGCUAAAGAAUGGAAUGUCUGUGCAUCAUCAAAAGCUGCAGAAACCAGUGCAUCUGCCCUUUGAUUAAGUUUAGUCAAAGGGCCUGGGAGGUUAACGUGUGCUCUUACGUGAGUGAUAUAGAAAGGGG